CUGAGACCUAGACAACCAGGUGAGUUCCUUACUGAGACCUAGACAACCAGGUGAGUUCCUUACUGAGACCUGGACAACCAGGUGAGUUCCUUACUGAGACCUAGACAACCAGGUGAGGGGAGUUCCUUACUGAGACCUAGACAACCAGGUGAGGGGAGUUCCUUACUGAGACCUAGACAACCAGGUGAGGGGAGUUCCUUACUGAGACCUAGACAACCAGGUGAGGGGAGUUCCUUACUGAGACCUAGACAACCAGGUGAGGGGAGUUCCUUACUGAGACCUAGACAACCAGGUGAGGGGAGUUCCUUACUGAGACCUAGACAACCAGGUGAGGGG
This is a long non-coding RNA of Oncorhynchus keta (chum salmon), 336 nucleotides long. RefSeq lists it as uncharacterized. Lineage: Eukaryota; Metazoa; Chordata; Actinopteri; Salmoniformes; Salmonidae. The record is from RefSeq and is a predicted model, not a curated record. The transcript has 3 exons.